GCCCUUUUGACAUGCAUGUAUAAUCUUAAUUUGCAAGUCUAGAGAAAGAAGAAAGCAAAGAAAACGGAGAAGUUGAUUCCAAAACAAGCUUGAACCAAUAAAGACGACUUUUCGUGGACUGCCGACGGUGAUGAUGAUGAUGUCGUAUUUGCACGCGAGCUACGAAUCCGCCUUUUAAUUUGAACAACUAUUACCUCCCUUGAUAGUUUCACUGGUUUAGAUGUAUGCUCGAUUGCUAAGUGCGUACUACUUUUUCCCCGUUCCAA
Molecule: long non-coding RNA, 266 nt
Filed under: Erythranthe guttata (spotted monkey flower)
Lineage: Eukaryota; Viridiplantae; Streptophyta; Magnoliopsida; Lamiales; Phrymaceae
Description: long non-coding RNA (EGUT_LNC001324)
Source: RNAcentral